GCGAAGGGGACAAAGGAAGGCCGUGUCCCUCCUCCUGACCUCUCGCUUCCUGCCUCUUCGCCCCGCCCACUUCCAGGUCAUUGCACUCGCCGCUCGCUGCAGAACACAGGUCUGGCGUCUCACCUGCAGUCGAGGCGAUUAUCCAGGGUGGUCUAUCGCUGCCGACCGGAGCAUAGCCUGCUGCACGGGGGAUACGCGGUGGCUGCCUUCCCCUGCCGCAGUGACUCUCUUCACCCCUCUCCCUCUUUGGGCGGAUGCCGGUUCUACCAAGCUGACCACCAGAACACACGAACGCUAAGCUAAGUAGGACCAUUGCUGUUUAAUUAUGGUCUUUUAGCCACAGCUCCUGCUACCGCUGCUACUACUCUUAGCCACGGCUACUGCUACCGCUGCUACUACUCUUAGCCACGGCUAUUGCUGCCGCUGCUACCACUGCUACUACUGUUACAGCGGCUACCGCUGCUUCGCUGUUUCGCUGCUGCUGCUGCUUCGCCGGCUUGGACUGGGCUUCCUGUCGGCUGCGUGUGUAUCAACCUGCUUCCUGCUGGAUGUGUGUGGCUGCCGCUCGUGCUGACCGGGCUCCCGAUCAGUGGGACGCCACGAGCUCCAUCAGGACUUUCAGCCACCCAUCUGGACUGGGCUGUGUGUGUAUGUGCGUGUGUAUGUCUGAAGGCCGACGGUGGUGGUGGUAGUUUCCCUGGGUGGUGGUGAUCCCCUGUGUGCUGUGUGACCCCUGUUCAAGAUUUGCUUUGUGUGCACUUAACGUUUUUGCUGUGUGUUUGGGGUGCUCUCCCUUUUCUUUUUGGACUUCACUCCCCAUUGUCACCCCCUCCUCCAGCCGGUAAGCCUCAGUCUGUAUCCCCUAGUUGGGCUCUCUUCUCCUUUUUUGGUUAUUGUG
Long non-coding RNA from Epinephelus moara (kelp grouper), 898 nucleotides. RefSeq lists it as uncharacterized. The transcript has 3 exons. NCBI's taxonomy places the organism in Eukaryota, Metazoa, Chordata, Actinopteri, Perciformes, Serranidae. The record is from RefSeq and is a predicted model, not a curated record.